Molecule: long non-coding RNA, 677 nt
Organism: Mauremys mutica (yellowpond turtle)
Lineage: Eukaryota; Metazoa; Chordata; Testudines; Geoemydidae
Exons: 4
Source: RefSeq, a predicted model, not a curated record
GGAUGCGGAGGUCAUGGCCUCAGGCAAACUCCCCACUGAAGACAAUUGAAGGCUAGAUUCAAACUGAGUGAGGAUGCCCGCAGUUAGCUCUGUGGACUCAACUGUGAGGUCACAAGCAGAGGACUAGGUCAUCGCGAAGGAAGCAGGCUCAAGGAGUGAACUGGGGCAGUGGUUUGGAAGCUGUACCCAGGUUCAAAUGUUACAACUGGCUCUGAUCUCUCUGAUGGGCUGAACCAAACUCCUGACCUCGGAACACUCCUGCACCCUGGGGUGUUCGGUAUCCAGACCCCACUACUGCAAUCCAACCCCUGGACCCCUGCCUCAUUUGUUGCAGAAGCUGGAUAGUGAAUGAAACAGUGGAACUGCAGGAAGAGAAGGCGUAACUGGAUUUUUUUUAAAAGAAGAAAGCUCACAUCUGGAGCACAAGAUCUAUGCUGAUCUCCUGUAUAACCCUGGCCAGAGAGCCCACCCAGCUCAAUAACUUCUUGUGGAGCUGCACCGUCAUUUAUAGAAAGGCAGCAAGGCCUCCAGUUGGAGUUUAAAGACUUCAGGUGACGGAGUACGCUAGGUAAGCUGCCGUCAGAGAAGAGCAGUGACUUGCUGAACCAAUACACAAUGACCUGGUUUUAGCCUGGCUCCGGACAGGUAGUGACGCCAUCAGAGGCAGAGAAAUCACC